AUUGAACGCUGGCGGCAUGCUUUACACAUGCAAGUCGAACGGCAGCGCGGGCUUCGGCCUGGCGGCGAGUGGCGAACGGGUGAGUAAUGCAUCGGAACGUGCCCAGUAGUGGGGGAUAGCCCGGCGAAAGCCGGAUUAAUACCGCAUACGACCUGAGGGUGAAAGCGGGGGACCGAAAGGCCUCGCGCUAUUUGAGCGGCCGAUGUCGGAUUAGCUAGUUGGUGGGGUAAAGGCUUACCAAGGCGACGAUCCGUAGCUGGUCUGAGAGGACGAACAGCCACACUGGGACUGAGACACGGCCCAGACUCCGACGGGAGGCAGCAGUGGGGAAUUUUGGACAAUGGAGGCAACCCUGAUCCAGCCAUGCCGCGUGCGGGAAGAAGGCCUUCGGGUUGUAAACCGCUUUUGUUCGGGAAGAAAUCCUCUGGGCUAAUACCCCGGGGGGAUGACGGUACCGGAAGAAUAAGCACCGGCUAACUACGU
This 483-nucleotide ribosomal RNA is filed under the name uncultured bacterium. RNAcentral's name for it is "partial 16S ribosomal RNA". It matches the Rfam family "Bacterial small subunit ribosomal RNA", at positions 29 to 506 of the family's 1533-position model. The record is from RNAcentral.